RNAcentral lists this ribosomal RNA (497 nucleotides) under uncultured bacterium. RNAcentral's name for it is "partial 16S ribosomal RNA". It matches the Rfam family "Bacterial small subunit ribosomal RNA", at positions 28 to 507 of the family's 1533-position model. The record is from RNAcentral.
GAUGAACGCUGGCGGCGUGCCUAAUACAUGCAAGUCGAGCGAACAGACGAGGAGCUUGCUCCUCUGACGUUAGCGGCGGACGGGUGAGUAACACGUGGAUCACCUACCUAUAUGACUGGUAUAACUUCGGAAAACCGGAGCUAAUACCGGAUAAUAUAUUGAACCGCGUGGGGCAAUAGAGAAUGUCGGCUUUUGUGUCUCGUAUAGCUGCUUCCGCGCCGCAUUGGCUAGUUGGUAAGGUAACGGCUUACCAAGGCAACGAUGCGUAGCCGAGCUGAGAGGGUGAUCGGCGACACUGGAACUGAGACACGGUCCAGACUCCUACGGGAGGCAGCAGUAGGGAAUCUUCCGCAAUGGGCGAAAGCUUGACGGAGCAACGCCGCGUGAGUGAUGAAGGUCUUCGGAUCGUAAAGCUCUGUUAUUAGGGAAGAACAAAUGUGUACGUAACUAUGCACGUAUUGACGGUACCUAAUCAGAAAGCCACGGCUAACUACGUG